This 501-nucleotide ribosomal RNA is filed under the name uncultured bacterium. RNAcentral describes it as "bacterial SSU rRNA". It matches the Rfam family "Bacterial small subunit ribosomal RNA", at positions 29 to 524 of the family's 1533-position model. The record is from RNAcentral.
AUUGAACGCUGGCGGCGUGCCUAACACAUGCAAGUCGAGCGGCAGCGCGGGAGCAAUCCUGGCGGCGAGCGGCGGACGGGUGAGUAAUGCUUGGGAAUCUGCCUGUUAGUGGGGGACAACCCGGGGAAACUCGGGCUAAUACCGCAUACGCACUACGGUGGAAAGCCGGGGACCGCAAGGCCUGGCGCUAACAGAUGAGCCCAAGUCGGAUUAGCUAGUUGGUAGGGUAACGGCCUACCAAGGCGACGAUCCGUAACUGGUCUGAGAGGACGACCAGUCACACCGGAACUGAGACACGGUCCGGACUCCUACGGGAGGCAGCAGUGGGGAAUAUUGGACAAUGGGGGAAACCCUGAUCCAGCGACGCCGCGUGGGUGAAGAAGGCCUGCGGGUUGUAAAGCCCUUUCAGUGGGGAAGAAAAGCCUCGACCUAACACGUCGGGGUCUUGACGUAACCCAUAGAAGAAGCACCGGCUAACUCUGUGCCAGCAGCCGCCGUAAG